GAUGAACGCUGGCUGCGUGCCUAAUACAUGCAAGUCGAACGAAACUUCUUUAUCACCGAGUGCUUUCACUCACCGAUAAAGGGUUGAGUGGCUAACGGGUGAGUAACACGUGGGCAACCUGCCCAAAAGAGGGGGAUAACACUUGGAAACAGGGGCUAAUACCGCAUAACCAUAGUUAGCGCAUGUUAACUAUUUAAAAGAUGGAUAUACUACCGCUUUUUGAUGGUCCCGGGGCGCAUUAGCCAGUUGGUAGGGUAAAGGCUUACCCAGGCAAUGAUGCGUAGCCGAAUUGAGAUGUUGAGCGGACCCAUUGGGACUGAGCCACGGCCCAAACUCAUGCGGGAGGCAGCAGUAGGGAAUCUUCCACAAUGGGCGAAAGCCUAAUGGAGAAACGCCGAGUGGGUGAAGAAGGUCUUCGGAUAUUAAAACCCUGUUGUUAGAGAAGAAAGUGCGUGAGAGUAACUGUUCACGUUUCGACGGUAUCUAACCAGAAAGCCACGGCUAACUACGUG
This 512-nucleotide ribosomal RNA is filed under the name uncultured bacterium. RNAcentral's name for it is "partial 16S ribosomal RNA". It matches the Rfam family "Bacterial small subunit ribosomal RNA", at positions 28 to 507 of the family's 1533-position model. The record is from RNAcentral.